RNAcentral lists this ribosomal RNA (561 nucleotides) under uncultured bacterium. RNAcentral's name for it is "bacterial SSU rRNA". It matches the Rfam family "Bacterial small subunit ribosomal RNA", at positions 338 to 916 of the family's 1533-position model. The record is from RNAcentral.
CCUACGGGAGGCAGCAGUGGGGAAUCUUGCGCAAUGGGCGAAAGCCUGACGCAGCAACGCCGCGUGCGGGAAGAAGGCUUUCGGGCUGUAAACCGCUUUCAGCAGGAACGAAAAUGACGGUACCUGCAGAAGAAGGAGCGGCCAACUAUGUGCCAGCAGCCGCGGUGAUACAUAGGCUUCAAGCGUUGUCCGGAUUUAUUGGGCGUAAAGAGUUCGUAGGCGGUCGAGUAAGUCGGGUGUGAAAAUUCUGGGCUCAACCCAGAGACGCCACCCGAUACUGCUUGACUUGAGUUCGAUAGGGGAGUGGGGAAUUCCUAGUGUAGCGGUGAAAUGCGCAGAUAUUAGGAGGAACACCGGUGGCGAAGGCGCCACUCUGGAUCGAUACUGACGCUGAGGAACGAAAGCAUGGGUAGCAAACAGGAUUAGAUACCCUGGUAGUCCAUGCCGUAAACGGUGGGCACUAGGUGUGGGUUUCUAUUAACGAAAUCCGCGCCGUCGCUAACGCAUUAAGUGCCCCGCCUGGGGAGUACGGUCGCAAGCUAAAACUCAAAGGAUUGACGG